GAUGAACGCUGGCGGCGUGCCUAAUACAUGCAAGUCGAGCGAACAGACGAGGAGCUUGCUCCUCUGACGUUAGCGGCGGACGGGUGAGUAACACGUGGAUAACCUACCUAUAAGACUGGGAUAACUUCGGGAAACCGGAGCUAAUACCGGAUAAUAUAUUGAACCGCAUGGUUCAAUAGUGAAAGACGGUUUUGCUGUCACUUAUAGAUGGAUCCGCGCCGCAUUAGCUAGUUGGUAAGGUAACGGCUUAACAAGGCUACGAUGCGAAGCCGACCUGAAGGGGUGAUCGCCCACACUGGAACUGAGACACGGUCCAGACUCCUACGGGAGGACGCAGUAGGGAAUCUUACGCAAUGGGCGAAAGCCUGACGGAGCAACAGCGCGUGAGUGAUGAAGGUCUUCGGAUCGUAAAACUCUGUUAUUAGGGAAGAACAAAUGUGUAAGUAACUAUGCACGUAUUGACGGUACCUAAUCAGAAAGCCACGGCUAACUACGUG
RNAcentral lists this ribosomal RNA (497 nucleotides) under uncultured bacterium. RNAcentral describes it as "partial 16S ribosomal RNA". It matches the Rfam family "Bacterial small subunit ribosomal RNA", at positions 28 to 507 of the family's 1533-position model. The record is from RNAcentral.